This 252-nucleotide ribosomal RNA is filed under the name uncultured bacterium. RNAcentral's name for it is "partial 16S ribosomal RNA". It matches the Rfam family "Bacterial small subunit ribosomal RNA", at positions 524 to 776 of the family's 1533-position model. The record is from RNAcentral.
UACGGAGGGUGCAAGCGUUGCUCGGAAUUAUUGGGCGUAAAGGGUAGGUAGGUGGUCUUAUUUGUCUGGGGUGAAAGCCUUGAGCUUAACUCAAGAAGUGCCCCAGAAACGGUGAGACUAGAGUCCUGAGAGGGUCGUGGAAUUCCCGGUGUAGCGGUGAAAUGCGUAGAGAUCGGGAGGAACACCAGAGGCGAAGGCGGCGACCUGGACAGGUACUGACACUCAACUACGAAAGCGUGGGGAGCAAACAGG